GCAGCGUAGUGGUUAUCACGUUCGCUUCACAUCAUGAAAGGUCUCCGGUUCGAUCCCGGACGGAACCA
This is a non-coding RNA of Trichonephila inaurata madagascariensis, 68 nucleotides long. The record is from the annotation of a GenBank genome assembly. NCBI's taxonomy places the organism in Eukaryota, Metazoa, Arthropoda, Arachnida, Araneae, Nephilidae.